GACGUGGCACUGAAGCGAAAUUCAACCAGGAACUCAAGUUAGUAGCAUUGCUACUCGUACUCGUAAAUUACCUUAGAUUUGCGCAAGCUGGGUCUUUGUUCGCGAUUUCUAUCGCUUGUUAAAGUUAAUAUGAUGAGUUAAUAUAACGAGUUAAUAUAAUAUAAGAGCGAGUAGUAGACGAAUAUGUAACGAAUGGGGGAAAGAUUAUUUUUCUUAUCGUGUAUCAUUCGUAACUUUAAAAUAAAUGUGUUCCAAAGGGGGUAGAAAUACUAACUGUUAGACUAGUUUAUUAAUUUUUUAGAUACUUUAAACACCCUAUCAAUUAUUAAUUUUUAUCGCGGUCCUCGACGAACGCCACAUUCCAUGGAAGCGUAAAUGCUUGAAAAUGCUGGAUUUUUAUCGACUAGCUGCGACGACCUUAUCGCGAUGGAGAUUAGUAUAAUGAAAGUAACGUCAAUAAUAGACGGUAUUUAUGGAGCAUGAUUUCAUGAUAGAGAUAUUCUUUCAUCGUGUAACCUACGCGUUUGCACUAAUACGUGGGAGUCGCUUCGCAGCGUUCCAUCAAAGUCGUUAUCAAGUACGCCGAUAAACAAUUUACUUCGUGAAACUGAACAAAUACUAGCAAAUUAUGACAUAUUUGCACUGUAGAGUUAACCCUGAAAUGCGUCAAGUUUCAAUUUUGAUAUCGGACUCGUAUGUUUUCUUUUUUAUUAAAUUGUUAAUAACGGCGAAGUUGAAGAUUCGUUCGUUCGCAUGGCUGAUCUAGAAAGCGCGAGAAAGCAAUCGUUUUGGCUAGUUCCCUCUGUCGUCGCAUUCCCAGCAUCCCGUUAGGAGUAUCGUAACGGUAAAAGCAACCGGUAGAUCCUCGCAUCGAUCCUCGAGACGCGAACCAAGAUUGCAUCGCAUUCGUCUAUGGAUUUCUAUACGCCCCUUGGACGUUCGAACGAUAAAUCUUUCAAUUGUGAAUUUCAACCGUAACAUGGUAAAAGGAAAUUCUAUUUUUUCUGCAUGUAAUUUAACAACAAUCUAUUAACUGUAUUCAGUUGUCGAUAGGACGGUGUUCCUCGCGCUGAAGUUUAUCAACGUAUCAAUAAGUCUGAUCCGAUGGUUAAGUAUCGUUAAAUAAAGUACGGUAAAUCAGUGCGCAAUUGAAAACAGGUUGGGAGAAUUUAUAUUCCGCCGUAUUUGGUCGUAUCGGUUCGUUCACCUUGCACUGUCUAGAAAAACGGUAAUACGCAGCUGUUGCAUCAUUAUUCCUGCAAGAUCAUCGGCCUUUCUCCCCUGUUGUGUAAUAAUACGAUACGUCUAAACUAUACCGAAUCGAUAGGACACGAUUCGUUCGAAUUAAUCUUUGAUCCUGUACCCUCCAGAGAGUUAUCCUCGCCGGUGACCAUUCUAAUUCAGUGUAAUAUAGUAAUAUUUCUAAUUUAGGAACACGGCUCGACGCAUUUAUCUAGAAACGACGAUUAAAUAUUUCUACUCGAACUAAAGUUGUAAACGAUCGAAUACAAAGGGACAGAAUUGAUUUCUUUUUGUUUGAUACGAAAAGCAAUGGUCGACAAACAGAAUGAAUGAAUCAGGAGAGGAAGCAGGAAGCAGCAGGUGGAGUCGACGGUCAGGAACAGGGAGACACGCGUCAGCGGUCACAUGUUUCCCAACGAAAUUCGACCGUAAAAAACGAAACAGAAAGGCACCCUUACGACGAGUUUCCAGGCACGUGCAUUUCUGCCUCUCAGUGCCGACGCUGGAAUACGAAACUAGACAACCAACGUGUUAACAACUAAAAUCGUUCGUUAAGGUAUCUCGGAGCAGUUUAUCGAACGUUCCACGAUUCCCACCGUUUUUCCAACCGCGUCGAGGGUUCGCUUCGAUACCGUCUACGAGUCUAGACACUCUUUACGUGGCGCUGGUCGGUUUAGUCACCUCGAGAAAGUAAGAGCCGCCUAUCUGUCGUCAUGGUCAACGAACUCCGGCUACUUCACCUUCUGCGAAUGUACUCAUUACGCAUUACGUCCACGCGUUGCGUAGCCGCUGUGUAAUUAGACGUUACGUUUACGCCUGUUUUGCAACUUCGUUCGAUCAGCUACUCGAAGGAAGAAUCCCCUGGAAUCGACGCGAACGAAACGCGACGCUGUCAUCGAGGAAACUCGAGGGGAUGAGCGUCGUAAUACGUUCGUGUCGCGCGAAAUUCCAAAGGAUUUGUACAAGUUCGCACAGUUUGGUUCAACGACACUCGUACGCUCCAGCGAUCGGCCGAGAAUACCGUGGGAGAGUCCAAGUUAUUAACCCCUUGCACUCGACAACAGUUUCAUUACAGAGAGCUAAUCAUUUCGACGACUAAACAUUCUUCUACCAUAAAUAAAAUACUUUACUACUACUUCCAAGCGUACCUGUUCACAGCUUAGGAGUCUAUUAAGGAAAUCUAAGAUAUAAUAACCCCUUUCGGCGUCUAGAUGCAGCGAAUAUUAUUUCUUGUUGCGCGCAAGCUUUCGCGAGUUACGACAAACUCUUCGCGCGAAGAUUCGAACAGCAGAGGAACGACGCAUGUCGAAAACACGAAGUAUGGGAGCUCCAACAACGUGUUUACAACGGAGAUUACAUUAGAAUGACGCGUUGGCACCUCUGACCAUGAAAGCGCGGUCGACGACCCGUGGAC
Long non-coding RNA from Hylaeus anthracinus, 2656 nucleotides. RefSeq lists it as uncharacterized. The transcript is spliced from 2 exons. NCBI's taxonomy places the organism in Eukaryota, Metazoa, Arthropoda, Insecta, Hymenoptera, Colletidae. The record is from RefSeq and is a predicted model, not a curated record.